AACAAGAAAGUAAAAAAUCGUAGAAAAAUUUUCCGUCUUGAUCGCUAGUGUGUUCUUGCCUCCUCGAUCUCCUUAGCAUUCUUAUGUCUAAAUUGUGUCAAAAGUAUAUCCCCCGUCCUCAAAAUAGCAUUUUUACAUGUAUAUAUACCAAGUAGGGUCGGGUCCAAACAAUUCCACCUUUUCCUACUCAAAAAAAGGACACUUUCAGACAAGACAUGCGUGGCCGCAGAACAACCGCAGAUUUUGACCAGUGUUCUACUCGAACUGGUCCCGCACUUGCCAUGCACUUUUCACUCUGUUCUGUGUGAAAUAUGGAAAAACAUAAAACAUGAAAGUUGUAGCUCUUUGAGUUAGCUUUCCAGCUAUAUAUUAUGGAGCCCAAAUGGAGUUCUUAUAGAAAAAUUGUAUGCAUUUUACUAGACGGUGUGUAAUAUACCUACUCGAUUCUUCGUUCGUUCUUCUAUCAGCCAUUGAUCUCUGAAUGGAUUGAUUCUUUGGCCUUUUACUUGUAGAAUAGCUUUCUAAACCAUUUUAAAUAAUAUGAGACCACCAAGGCCCAAGCUUCAAAUCUCC
This 573-nucleotide long non-coding RNA is filed under the name Nicotiana benthamiana. Its description in RNAcentral is "long non-coding RNA (NBEN_LNC028011)". Lineage: Eukaryota; Viridiplantae; Streptophyta; Magnoliopsida; Solanales; Solanaceae. The record is from RNAcentral.